UAACGCUGUACAAUGCUGCACAGUUUUUUCCAUGGCCAUUUAUUUCCUGACCAAAGUCCGAUACAGACCUUAUCCGGCGACAAGAUAUUUUUGUUACAAAAUCAUUUUCAUAGAACAUAAGGAUGGAAGCAAUACCCAGCACCAGUACUCUUUGAAACAGAAUAUCUUCACAAGAUUACAGAGCAGUGGGAGAAGUCAUGUGUGACAUCAGACCUCAACACUAACUAGGAGCAAGAAUGCCAAAGCGACAGACAACUUAUCAAACUUUGGUCGUCCUCCUCCUCAACAUCUUCAUCUUCCUUCCAACACCUCUCAACUUUUCCACUAAAAAGUCUCUAACCAUCCAGAUCCAAGUUCCAGACCAGACCAUCAUCUGAAAGGAAUUAACUUAAAUUGACAUGGUGAUUAACCUACCACAACACAGCGAGUUGGAGGCCAGGAGUGGAGGUCCAACCUACAACUUCAAGUCAAAUGGAAGAAAGUAACACUCUUGGAAGUAGGUUGAAUGAGUAUAACACAAAACAAUAGUCCAGUAGUCCUGUUAUACUUUCAAUGUUACUCAGCCCUGUCCUUGUCUCUUCUAGCUCCAAGACCUUGUUUUCAGACCUGUGAGCAACGUGUCCCACCCAACUCUACAGUACUUGUUGUUCAAUAUUAUAAAUAAAAUGACGGCAGGGUCGUUUGGAAAGACUUUGCACCUACUUCAAACACCUGAUUCAACUAAAAUGUUAAAGUAGUAUGACAACCCCUAACAGUACGAGUGUGCAGUUUUAAUGCUUUGUUUGCAUUUCAGACCUCAAAGUUGUCCUCAACCGGGGACAGAAUGUUAAGCAAACCGUGUGGUAUGUGUUCGAGAAGGUCUUCACACUGGACUUUGCAACCCAACUGAACUGGUUUCGGGAGGGGGCAGAAGACUGUCAUCUGGUCAAUGCAACUGAAAGAUGCUAUUUUGUGUUCUGUUCUUUAAAACCCACGUUUGCCAGGAAUUACUGAGUUCGAGGUUGAAAGGGCGGGGACGGCAGCUGGAGAGAGAGACCUGCGGAAGAAGAGGACGAUUAAUUUGUAGCCUAUAUAAUGCACAGUUCUAUAUCGUGAAGCUUUGCCCAUAGGGGCUUUGCUCCUAUUGGUUUACCCCUCUGCCAAUAGGGAGGCGCUGCCAAAUAUGCAAAUCACACCUCUCAAGGCCAUCUGCCCCAUGCCUAUAAAAAAGGUCGACACACCCCAAUCUGCCUCGCUUCUGUCUUCACGAGAAAGUUUAUUAUGCACUCAGGGAUUUCUACAACGCCAAGGAUGGCUUCACCUAUUUCAGCCACUGGAGCGCUUCUUCUGACGCGGCACCCCGGCCGCCGACGUCUGUCGGCCUGCUGGUGUAGCAAGCUGGACCCGGCGGUGGACCGCUGCAUGCUCGUGACGGUGCCAUCGAGGAGCCUGUGUGCUCCGCCUGUGCCGUCCUCCCUUUACCUGUGAGGAUGGAAAGGCUGGUGUACUUCGCAGAGGAGGUCCCCCUCUGACGUCCCCCUCUGACGUCCUCUCUCUCCUCUCUGAGGAGGACUCCUUUCAGGAGUCUGGGUCGGAGGCUGAGGAGACCGGCCCGGUCUUGGUUCCGCCCGCCUCGGGAACUGUUCUCCUCUCGGCUGAGCGGGUGCGGAGUUGUUCCGGUUCUUCCUCUUCGGAGGAGGUGGUGGUUGCGCCCCCCAAGGACAGGAGUGUCGACCCCCCGGCAGUGAACGAGGAUUUCUUUGCUGCCAUCUCUGCUGCUGCCCAGCGCCUGCGAAUUCCUAGGAGAUUGUUGACCUUUUUGAGGAUGCCCACAGGACGCCGCCCAACGCCAGAGGAGGCGUGAGGUGCUCCUUUCAUGACCCGGGGGACUGUGAAGUCUCCCCUCGCCUUCACCACGCUGGCGUCCUCCCUGGCUUGAGCACUUGGACUGACAAGCGCCCUGCUGUCGGUGAGGGACUGUGUCUCCCUCCGCCAGCCUGGCGGAGAAGCAGUACGCCCUCUCGGUGCAGUCUCGCGACCUGCAAUAACGUGGACCUUCUUGCAGCGGCUGUGGCCGGAAUCUCGUUGUCCCCAGCUGAGGUGAGCGAGGUGGCUCGGGCUUCGGCGGCCAUCUUAAAGCUCACGCAGGCCAACUCCCUCGGCCAGUUCUGAGUGGAGCGUCGCCCAUAGGGUUCAUGCCCUGACCGGUCACUGACGGAUUUCUCGUGAAGAAAGGUAUGUCGGGAGACAGAGCAGAGUAGGACGACCUCUUUUAUAGCCAUGAGAGGUGUGAUUUGCAUAUUUAAAUGUUCAGCGCCUGCCUAUUGGUAGAGGGGUAAACCAAUAGGAGCAAAGCCCCUAUGGGCGACUGGGGUUACGAAAGUAUCCAUCGUUGUUGGGUGUUUUUGUUUAGGCUUCUUUUAUUUUUUUCUGUUCGUUAAAUUGUACAUUCUAUAAAUGAAGUUCAUACCUUAGUCUUUCUGUUCUCGUCACUUUACUUCAGCAGUAGCUGAAACAUCGGCAGUAGAUCUAUUAACCGCCAGCAGUAGAGCUAUUAAAUGUUGGCUAAACAACGGCGGAGAAUCGUCGUUCAAAUAUCGGCGGAAGAGAGCAGCCGACGGCCAUACUGCAUUCCGUGUGUAUGUUGGGCCGACAGCGGUAAGACGUAUGUGUGCUAACUGAGGGAGUACUUGGAUGCAUGUUAUGGAGCAUUGUCCUGCAUAAAGAACAUGGCCUUCUUGAAUGCUGAGGACUUCUUCCUGUACCACUGCUUGAAGAAAGUAUCUUCCAGAAACUGGCAGUAGGUAUGGGAGUUGAGAUUCAGUCUUCAACCCGAAAACGUCCAACUACCUCAUCCUUAAAUUUUAGCAGCCCAUACCAGUAACCCUCCACCUUGCUGGCGCCUGACUCGAAGUGGUGCCGUGUUCAUUAGUCCAUCUGGUCCAUCAAGAGUCACUCUCAUUUCAUCUGUCCAUAAAACCUUUGAAAAAUCAGUCUUCAGGUAUUUCUUUGCCCAAUCUACAUGCCUCAGUGUGUGAAUCUUAUUCAGUGGUGGUCUUUUUUCAGCCUUCUUGACCUUGGCCAUGUCUCAGCAUUUGACACCUUAUACUUCUAGACACUUCAGGUAGGUUGCAGUUCUGGAAUAUGGUGGCCCUGGAGGAUAAUGGGUUCCUGGUAGAUUCACAUUUAAUUCUUCUCAAGUCUUUUGCAGUUAAUUUGCAUCUUCUCCAUGCAUUUUUUGCCACCCAGUUGACUAUUCACAACAAAACGUUUGAGUGUCCAGUGGUCACGCCUCAAUAGUUUAGCUAUUUCAAGUGUUGCAUCCGUCUGAAAGGCAUUUUAUUAUUUAACUUUUCAGUGUUAAAUCUAUUUAUUGGCCCAUUUUACCUGAGGUCAUGAAGCUGCCUAAUAAUUCUGCACACCUUGAUAUAAGGUGUUAUUCACUUACAUCACCCCCUCCCUCAUUACACAAAUGUAUCACCUAAAAAUUAUUCAAAUUCAAUGAGCAUUCAAGUUUAUAUGAUUUGGAGUUGGAAAAUUUGCAUAGAAAUAUGAUCAGAAUAUUCACUUGCCUAAUAAUUGUGCACGUAUUGUACAAUGUUGAGGUAUGUUCUCUCAUCUGUCAUAUUAUUUGGUAAAAAAAUAUACAACCAUAUAUGAUUUAUGACCAGAGUUGAUUAUUUUCUUUUGAGUGCUUGUAUUUUAAUAUGUUCUUGUGACCACAUGACCUGAACUUACUUAACACUGUGCAUGACCAAAUCUUUCUUUAAAGACUGAUGCUUUUCCAGUGCCAUGUUACGUGUGGGGAAGAAAGUGUUCAUUCUUUAGGGAUGCUUUUUUUAUUUUAGAAUGUUUCCACCUCCAUGCUUACUGG
This is a long non-coding RNA of Esox lucius (northern pike), 3853 nucleotides long. The record is from Ensembl. NCBI's taxonomy places the organism in Eukaryota, Metazoa, Chordata, Actinopteri, Esociformes, Esocidae.